UAUCACUCUGCCCUUUCUUGCACUCGACACGGUGAUACUUAAUCUUGCCAGCUAUUUCGUGGUACUGGUAGUGAUGGUGGUGGCGAUGGCGUGGUGGUGGUGCUGCUGCUACUACUCCGAAAGAGAAGAAGGCAAACGCAACCAAGCAAGCUAAAAUACUCGUCUUGUCGUUCUAAAUUUAACCGAGGAACGUACUCACCAUAUAUCGAGCUUUUCAAAAAAUUCCACGCUUCUACGGAAAAACAUUCUCUGCGUAUGUUCCAAAGAUUCGAAAAAAGAAAGAAAGAACGACUGGAAACAAUUGUGAAAAUCUGUGGAAUGUCAGAUGGAAACUUUGGAAAGGAUAAAUUCGUUCGGUAAGGCCAUUGAAUGUAAACGGAAUCGUCGUCACGAGGCAAACUCGAUGGACCGACGAAACGUGGUAAACGUAUGAAGUUCAUCUCGGCAGUAGUAGGAAUAUGUUAUAGGCUAGGGUGGCGCGUCAUUGGUAUCGUCAUUGUGAGCAGUACCGUGCUCUCCCAUCCAUGCACAUAGAUACGAUACGUACACAUAGGAGUACAUUU
RNAcentral lists this long non-coding RNA (563 nucleotides) under Polistes fuscatus (common paper wasp). Its description in RNAcentral is "uncharacterized LOC122526432". The record is from RNAcentral. Lineage: Eukaryota; Metazoa; Arthropoda; Insecta; Hymenoptera; Vespidae.